CGCGGCCUAUCAGCUUGUUGGUGGGGUGAUGGCCUACCAAGGCGACGACGGGUAGCCGGCCUGAGAGGGUGAUCGGCCACAUUGGGACUGAGAUACGGCCCAGACUCCUACGGGAGGCAGCAGUGGGGAAUAUUGCACAAUGGGCGGAAGCCUGAUGCAGCGACGCCGCGUGAGGGAUGACGGCCUUCGGGUUGUAAACCUCUUUCAGCAGGGACGAAGCGUAAGUGACGGUACCUGCAGAAGAAGCACCGGCUAACUACGUGCCAGCAGCCGCGGUAAUACGUAGGGUGCGAGCGUUGUCCGGAAUUACUGGGCGUAAAGAGCUCGUAGGCGGUUUGUCACGUCGUCUGUGAAAUCCUAGGGCUUAACCCUGGACGUGCAGGCGAUACGGGCUGACUUGAGUACUACAGGGGAGACUGGAAUUUCUGGUGUAGCGGUGGAAUGCACAGAUAUCAGGAAGAACACCGAUGGCGAAGGCAGGUCUCUGGGUAGUAACUGACGCUGAGGAGCGAAAGCAUGGGUAGCGAACAGGAUUAGAUACCCUGGUAGUCCAUGCCGUAAACGGUGGGCGCUAGGUGCGGGGUUCCUUCCACGGGCUCCGCGCCGUAGCUAACGCAUUAAGCGCCCCGCCUGGGGAGUACGG
This 643-nucleotide ribosomal RNA is filed under the name uncultured Actinomycetes bacterium. Its description in RNAcentral is "bacterial SSU rRNA". It matches the Rfam family "Bacterial small subunit ribosomal RNA", at positions 232 to 885 of the family's 1533-position model. The record is from RNAcentral. Lineage: Bacteria; Bacillati; Actinomycetota; Actinomycetes.